GAGGGUACAGCUCAGUGGUAGAGCACAUGCCUAGCAUGCACGAGAUCCCGGGUUCAAUUCCUGGUACCUCCA
This 72-nucleotide transfer RNA is filed under the name Camelus bactrianus (Bactrian camel). It matches the Rfam family "tRNA". Rfam says of the family: Transfer RNA (tRNA) molecules are approximately 80 nucleotides in length. The record is from Rfam by way of RNAcentral. RNAcentral also lists the same sequence under 1 other name. Lineage: Eukaryota; Metazoa; Chordata; Mammalia; Artiodactyla; Camelidae.